This 221-nucleotide long non-coding RNA is filed under the name Vigna radiata. Its description in RNAcentral is "long non-coding RNA (VRAD_LNC010528)". The record is from RNAcentral. Lineage: Eukaryota; Viridiplantae; Streptophyta; Magnoliopsida; Fabales; Fabaceae.
UUUGGAUAUCAUCAAAUUUAUUUCUUUCAUGAGUCAUAGAGGGGUAAAUGAACCCAUAUACAUCAUUGAACCCUUUCUUGUUAUUGGCAUCAAACAUAUACCUGAAAUGAAGAAAUAAUCUGAUAUAAGUAACUUGAUAAAAAAGAAUUAUAUAAAAAAGUUCUCAUAAACUUACAUUCUCCACAGCUGAAUAAGUGUAAUAUUAAUUUAUUCUCUCCCCG